AAAGUGCAGCAAAAAGAUAUGGCUUUGAAGUGUCCGACGGCCAAAUCGCACUCCUUGCUGUGGCGUUACCAAACUUGGUGGAGCUUGGGUCAAAGUGGAAGGGAGCUUCAUUGUGCACUGGGUUUGACAGAACUGAGGAGAAGAGAAAAGC
Long non-coding RNA from Syngnathus acus (greater pipefish), 151 nucleotides. RefSeq lists it as uncharacterized. The record is from RefSeq and is a predicted model, not a curated record. Lineage: Eukaryota; Metazoa; Chordata; Actinopteri; Syngnathiformes; Syngnathidae. The transcript has 4 exons.